AACGCACAUUGCGCCCUUUGGUAUUCCGAGGGGCAUGCCUGUUCGAGCGUCAUUUCAACCCUCAAGCUCUGCUUGGUAUUGGGCCUCGUCGUCUGCGGCGGGCCUUAAAAUCAGUGGCGGUGCCGCCUUGGCUCUAAGCGUAGUAGCAAUCUCUCGCUCUGGAGACCUGGCAGUUGCUGGCCAGAUAACCCCCGAAUUUUUUUUUUUCUAGUGGUUGACCUCGGAUCAGGUAGGGAUACCCGCUGAACUUAA
RNAcentral lists this unclassified non-coding RNA (252 nucleotides) under uncultured fungus. RNAcentral describes it as "sequence contains ITS2". Lineage: Eukaryota; Fungi. The record is from RNAcentral.